Small nucleolar RNA from Penicillium freii, 107 nucleotides. It matches the Rfam family "A. fumigatus snoRNA Afu_264". The record is from Rfam. NCBI's taxonomy places the organism in Eukaryota, Fungi, Ascomycota, Eurotiomycetes, Eurotiales, Aspergillaceae.
CCACAUGAUGAUACAACGCAUUUGUUAUUACUUUAUUUUCUGGUACCUCUUAUGUCAGAGCUAGUGUUUUCGGAUGCUAGCUCGAUGAUCUACCUGGACUUCUGAUC